AAUAAUAUUUUCUGCUCAGGUGCUUUGAUUCUAUCAAGGCUUAAAAGGGAACCGGGUGAAAAUCCCGGACGGUUCGGCCACUGUGAAUGGUUAGCUGCUUCCAAAAUGCCACUGUGCUGCUCCGGCGCUUAAAAAUUGAGUGCCUAAUCAGGAUGGGAAGGCGGGAGAUGAGCAAUGAUCCAUAAGUCAGGAGACCUGCCCGAGCGGAACAGCAUAU
This 217-nucleotide non-coding RNA is filed under the name Desulfofarcimen acetoxidans. RNAcentral also lists the same sequence under 1 other name. The record is from RNAcentral. Lineage: Bacteria; Bacillati; Bacillota; Clostridia; Eubacteriales; Peptococcaceae.